RNAcentral lists this long non-coding RNA (3495 nucleotides) under Homo sapiens (human). RNAcentral's name for it is "HSALNT0073124". Lineage: Eukaryota; Metazoa; Chordata; Mammalia; Primates; Hominidae. The record is from RNAcentral.
UGUUCAGGCACUCUUCCUCAAAGGUUGGGCUUAGGAAUCAUGUUCUUAUUUAGAUUCUGCUCACUUCCCUAUCCUUUUCUUCUUCUCAGUUUCAGCGUUCAAAAAGCUGUGUGAAUUUCACACUACCUAAAUGAAAAUUUAAAAUUAUCCAAUUCCACCAAAAUUUAUUCAGAAUCUAGUGUGUGCCAGGCAUUUUGUUAAGCACUGGGUAUGAACAACUGAGUAAAAUACUCCAGAAUCUGAUACGUUAGAAGGAAUUUAGAAAAGUAAAUACAGAGCUGUAAUAAAAUUAGGAUCGGUCCCAUGAUAGCAUUGUUUUUAAAAUGUGAGUGUAUAAGUGAGCAAGAUUAAUUUCAUUGGGUAGUGAGAAGAUAGGGAGAAACCAGAGAAUUGUAAAUACAUUUGAUCUGAUACUGGAAAGAGGUCAUGUAGACCAGAAAAGGAAAGAUACCCAGAUACCUCAAGGUGAGGAACUAGCACUAGGAAGAAGCACGGUGUGUUCAAGGUAACGAGCUGUUGGGGUGAAGCGGAAGAAAGCAGCCGAUGAUCUUAAAGCUAUCAACUGUGGAAUCAAUUCUAGCAGCUUUCAAAUGCGUGUACUUAAAAAAAAGAAAGAAUUUCCAACAGACAUAUAAAAUGCCAGAAUUAAAGUUCCUUCGCCAUUUCAGCUGCCACCAUCCCCUCUCCCCAAAACCCCAGUAGACAUCAACAGAAUCCAGAAACUACAGGGUCCACUGGCAUGGCAGGGCCUGUAGGAUUCUUUUCCAAUGUGUACAGAUUGGCUGAUGCCUGGACUAUGCCAGUUCACUGUUUUAAAGAUUACUCUUGAUUGUCACAAUUAAAAACAAAGAAUAUUUAGAACCAAAUUAUAUGUGUUGCACAUUAAACAAAACGUUUUAUAAUAUGUUCUAAAAGUCAGCAAAGGUUAUUUAGCUGUGUAUGAUUCAUUUCACAAUUCCAUUUUUUAAUAUUGUAAUUCUCCCUUAUGCCUUCUAAUUUUUUUUGAAAUGACCACAGAUAUCUUCUGUAGGCCAAAUAGCAUAUUACACAUCUGUCAAAACAUACUUUAUUAUCAUAUAACUCUGUUUACAAAGUCUCUUGAACCCUUUCAGAUUGUUCUGGCUGCUUGUUUUGUGUUCAUUUCUUUCUUUAAUGUGUUUACAUUUUCCAGUCAUUUGUAUAAAUAAGGAUGUACUAGAAUAAAUAGUCUUUCCCCUUUAAGACCCAGUCUAAAUUUCAAGGUUAGUUUUAAAUUUUGUUCUUCAUUUCAAUAUGACAGCAAAGUUGUUUGAUACUAAGAAUAAUUCUUUUUGAUGAAAAUACUAUAUUUAAGAAAUCAAUAAUACUAUGAACUGACUUAUAUUCUCUUUAAAUUUAUAGACCUAACUAUACACCCCAUGUGAUGGUAUUUGGAGAUGGACCUUUGGAAGGUAAUUCAGGUUAGAUGAGAUCAUGAAGGUAUAGUCCUCAUGACGGGAUUAGUGUCUUCAUAAUGUGAUAGAGAGAGAGAGAGAGAGAGAGAAAAGGAGAGAGAGAGGAAGAGAAAUUAUCACAAAAAAAGAGGUCAUCUGAGUACACAGUGAGAUAGAAGCCACCUAUAAUCCAAGAAAAGAGUCCUCAGAAUAAAACCUACCUUGUGGACACCUUGAUCUUGGACUUCCAGUCUCCAGAACUAUGAGAAAUGAAUUUCUGUUGUUUAAGCAACUCAGUCUGUGGUACUUUGUUGUCUCAACUGAAGCAGAUGAAUACAAAUAAUAAAUAGAGUGGUGUACAUUAGUGAUGGAUGGCUCACUAUUAGAGAAGCCCAUAGUCUCUGUGUUGAAUUUUAUUUGCUCAUUGGAAUAAUUGACUCAAAUUUAAAAUUCUCCUCUAACGUUAUGUGUAUAAUUUACCUUCAGAUUGCUAUUGGGUAAACCAAGAAUUCAUUGAGUAAUCACAGAAUACAUAGAGAGAUUCUCUUGGUUCUUGGAAUGACUUCUAAAUUAAUGAUAAAGUGAUGCUCCUUAGAAUGUUAGAGCUUCACAAUGCCUUUCUAGACUCCUGGCUGCAAAGGUGGCUUAAGAAACAAAAGUCAGGCCGGGCGAGGUCGCUCACCACGCCUGUAAGCCCAGCACUUUGGGAGGCAAGGCGGGCGGAUAACGAGGUCAAGAGAUCGAGACCAUCCUUGCUAACGCGGUGAAACCCUGUCUCUACUAAAAAUACAAAAACAAAAAUUAUCUGGGUAUCGUGGCGGAUGCCUGUAGUUCCAGCUACUGGGGAGGCUGAGGUGGGAGAAUGGUGUGAACCCGGGAGGCGGAGCUUGCAGUGAGCCAUGGUUGUGCCACUGCACUCCAGCCUGGGGGAGAGACUGAGACUUCAUCUCAAAAAAAAAAAAAAAAAAAAAAAAAAACAAGAGUCAAAAAAAGAAAGGACCAACCACGGUUGUUUGGUACCAAAAAGAAACUACAACCAUGUUGUGUCCAGAAUUGGUGGGUUCUUGGUCUCACUGACUUCAAGAAUGAAGCCGCGGACCCUCGCGGUGAGUGUAACAGCUCUUAAGGUGGCGCCUCUGGAGUUUUUUCCUUCUGAUAUUCCCAUGUGUUCGGAGUUUCUUCCUUCUGGUGGGUUCAUGGUCUGGCUGGCUCAGGAGUGAAGCUGCAGACCUUCGCAGUGAGUGUUGCAGCUCUUAAAAGCAGUGUGGACCCAAAGAGUGAGCAGUAGCAAGAUUUAUUGCAAAGAGUUAAAGAACAAAGCUUCCACCGUGUGGAAGGGGACCCAAGCGGGUUGCCAAUGCUGGCUCAGGCAGCCUGCUUUUAUUCUCUUAUCUGGCCCCACCCACAUCCUGCUGAUUGGUAGAGCCCAGUGGCCUGUUUUGACAGGGUGCUGAUUGGUGAGUUUACAAUCCCUGAGCUAGAUACAAAGGUUCUCCACGUCCCCAUUAGAUUAGUUAGAUACAGAAUUUCCACACACAGGUUCUCCAAGGCCCCACCAGAGCAGCUAGUUACAGAGUGUCCAUUGGUGCACUCACAAACGCUGAGCUAGACACAGGGUGCUGAUUGGUGUGUUUACAAACCUUGAGCUAGAUACGAGUGCCGAUUGGUGUAUUUACAAUCCCUGAGGUAGACAUAAAGGUUCUCCAAGGCCCCACCAGACUCAGGAGCCCAGCUGCCUUCACCCAGUGGAUCCCGCACCGGGGCUGCAGGUGGAGCUGCUUGCCAGUCCCGCCCCGUGUGCCCGCACUCCUCAGCCCUUGGGUGGUCGAUGGGACUGGGCGCUGUGGAGCAGGGGGUGGUGCUCGUCGGGGAGGCUCGGGCCGCACAGGAGCCCAUGGAGUGGGUGGGAGGCUCAGGCAUGGCAGGCUGCAGGUCCAGAGCCCUGCCCCGCGGGAGGGCAGCUAAGGCCCGGUGAGAAAUCGAGUGCAGCACCGGUGGGCUGGCACUGCUGGGAGACCCAGUACACCCUCCGCAGCCACUGGCCCGGGUGCUAAGCCCCUCACUGCCUGGGGCCGGCAGGGCC